UACAGAGGGUGCGAGCGUUGUCCGGAAUCACUGGGCGUAAAGGGCGCGUAGGCGGCCUGAUAAGUAGGGGGUGAAAUCUUGCGGCUCAACCGCAAGGCUGCCUUCUAAACUGUCAGGCUGGAGCACGGUAGAGGCAGAUGGAAUUCCCGGUGUAGCGGUGGAAUGCGUAGAGAUCGGGAAGAACACCAGUGGCGAAGGCGGUCUGCUGGGCCGUUGCUGACGCUGAGGCGCGAAAGCGUGGGGAGCAAACAGG
RNAcentral lists this ribosomal RNA (253 nucleotides) under uncultured bacterium. RNAcentral's name for it is "partial 16S ribosomal RNA". It matches the Rfam family "Bacterial small subunit ribosomal RNA", at positions 524 to 776 of the family's 1533-position model. The record is from RNAcentral.